UCAGCAGAAGCCGAGCAGACAACCAGAGCUGCAAGAUGUCUGUGCUCCCUGGAAUAAUUGUCCUUGGUGGGACGAUCCUCAUGUGCCUGGUGUGCCUGCUUGCUAGUAGGAGGAAUAAUACCUGUUCAUUCUCCUACCGGAACACCAAUAAUGUAUAUGUGCAUCGGCCCCAAGUCAUCAUUGAAAACACAGUGUUCUCAAGUGGACAAGACCUUCCACUGGAUUGUUCAAGAGAGAUCCAGCCUUACAAGAAGGAAAACUAGAGACCAAAAUAAAUCCUCUUCCUUCUCGAUGGGUAUCAUCUGCUUCUUCCUUUCCUAAAAGACUGGGGGAGCUAUCUCUCAUAGUGAGUACAUUCAGUGGUGCAAGUGGCUCUCAGAAGUAGACUCAUGCCUUGCUUGUAUUAGGACUUUACUGAACCCAAAUACCACAAAAUUCUUUAGCUCAGCCCUGCUAGCCUUAACUGAGAAAGUGGAAAUUUAAGAUGGGAUCCGUGCAUUGUAUGGUGUCAACACCCAUGGCAUGGUUUAGUAUCAUACCAUAUGCUUGUUUUUCUGCCUGUGAACUUGUGAGAUAGAAAAACAGCUACCUAGUCAUCCAAUUUUACUGUUUUUAUUUUUAUUGGAUGUUUUGUGUACUUACAUUUCAAAUGUUAUCCACUUUCUCCCCUCUCCCAACCCCUUCCCCUGCUUCUCUGAAGAUGUUCCCACUCCCACCCAUCCACUCUCAAUGUUACUUGUUAUCAUUCAUUCACAUAAUAAAUUUGGACUGUGCAGUUG
RNAcentral lists this long non-coding RNA (779 nucleotides) under Rattus norvegicus (Norway rat). Its description in RNAcentral is "uncharacterized LOC100910973". Lineage: Eukaryota; Metazoa; Chordata; Mammalia; Rodentia; Muridae. The record is from RNAcentral.